CCUACGGGAGGCAGCAGUGAGGAAUAUUGGACAAUGGGCGCAAGCCUGAUCCAGCCAUGCCGCGUGCAGGAAGACUGCCCUAUGGGUUGUAAAAUGCUUUUAUACGGGAAGAAACACCCCUACGUGUAGGGGCUUGACGGUAC
This 143-nucleotide ribosomal RNA is filed under the name uncultured bacterium. RNAcentral's name for it is "partial 16S ribosomal RNA". It matches the Rfam family "Bacterial small subunit ribosomal RNA", at positions 338 to 478 of the family's 1533-position model. The record is from RNAcentral.